UACAGAGGGUGCGAGCGUUGUUCGGAAUUACUGGGCGUAAAGCGCACGUAGGCGGCUUGGUAAGUUAGAGGUGAAAGCCUGGGGCUCAACCCCAGAAUUGCCUUUAAGACUGCUGGGCUUGAACGUCGGAGAGGUGAGUGGAAUUCCGAGUGUAGAGGUGAAAUUCGUAGAUAUUCGGAAGAACACCAGUGGCGAAGGCGGCUCACUGGACGACUGUUGACGCUGAGGUGCGAAAGCGUGGGGAGCAAACAGG
RNAcentral lists this ribosomal RNA (253 nucleotides) under uncultured bacterium. Its description in RNAcentral is "partial 16S ribosomal RNA". It matches the Rfam family "Bacterial small subunit ribosomal RNA", at positions 524 to 776 of the family's 1533-position model. The record is from RNAcentral.